CAAUAGCGUAUAUUAAAGUUGUUGCGGUAAAAAAGCUCGUGGUUGGAUUUCUGUUGAGAGCGACCGGUCCAUACCAUGUAUGCGUAUCUGGCUUGCUCUCGGCAUCCUCUCGAUAGACGUUACUGCGCUUGAUUGCGUGGUGCGGAUCUCGGGACUUUUACUUUGAGGAAAUUAGAGUGUUCACGGCAGGCUUUCGCCAGAAUACAUUAGCAUGGAAUAAUACUAUAGGAUCUUGGUUCUAUUUUGUUGGUUUCUAGAAUUGAGAUAAUGAUUAAUAGGGACAAUUGGGGGCAUUCGUAUCAACACGUCAGAGGUGGAAUUCUUGGAUUGUGUUGCGACGAACUACUGCGAAAGCAUUUGCCAAGGAUGUUUUCAUUGA
Molecule: ribosomal RNA, 379 nt
Filed under: uncultured eukaryote
Lineage: Eukaryota
Description: partial 18S ribosomal RNA
Rfam family: Eukaryotic small subunit ribosomal RNA
Source: RNAcentral